UACCAGCUCUCCGAGUGGUAGGGAUGAUUAUUGGGCUUAAAGCGUCCGUAGCUGGCCUUUCAAGUCUCUCGUUAAAUCCAGCGAUUUAAUCGUUGGACCGCGGGAGAUACUGUUAGGCUAGGAGACGGGAGAAGCCGACGGUAUUUUCGGAGUAGGGGUAAAAUCCUAUAAUCCCGGGAGGACCACCAGUGGCGAAGGCUGUUGACUAGAACGCGCUUGACGGUGAGGGACGAAAGCUGGGGGAGCGAACCGGAUUAGAUACCCGGGUAGUCCCAGCUGUAAACGAUGCGAGCUAGGUGUUGGGGGUGGCUACGUGCCACUUCAGUGCCGCAGGGAAACCAUUAAGCUCGCCGCCUGGGGAGUACGGCCGCAAGGCUGAAACUUAAAGGAAUUGGCGGGGGAGCACCACAAGGCGUGAAGCUUGCGGUUC
RNAcentral lists this ribosomal RNA (430 nucleotides) under uncultured archaeon. RNAcentral's name for it is "bacterial SSU rRNA". It matches the Rfam family "Archaeal small subunit ribosomal RNA", at positions 474 to 903 of the family's 1478-position model. The record is from RNAcentral.